CAGUAGCCACGGUAAUACGUAGGGGGCAAGCGUUAUCCGGAUUUACUGGGUGUAAAGGGAGCGCAGACGGCAGUGCAAGUCUGAAGUUAAAGGCUGUGGCUUAACCAUAGUACGCUUUGGAAACUGUUUAACUUGAGUGCAAGAGGGGAGAGUGGAAUUCCAUGUGUAGCGGUGAAAUGCGUAGAUAUAUGGAGGAACACCGGUGGCGAAAGCGGCUCUCUGGCUUGUAACUGACGCUGAGGCUCGAAAGCGUGGGGCGCAAACAGGAUUAGAUACCCCAGUAGUCCCUGUCUCUUAUACA
Molecule: ribosomal RNA, 301 nt
Filed under: uncultured bacterium
Lineage: Bacteria
Description: partial 16S ribosomal RNA
Rfam family: Bacterial small subunit ribosomal RNA
Source: RNAcentral